GACGAACGCUGGCGGCGUGCUUAACACAUGCAAGUCGAACGGAAAGGCCCUGCUUUUGUGGGAUGCUCGAGUGGCGAACGGGUGAGUAACACGUGAGUAACCUGCCCUUGACUUUGGGAUAACUUCAGGAAACUGGGGCUAAUACCGGAUAGGAGCUCCUGCUGCAUGGUGGGGGUUGGAAAGUUUCGGCGGUUGGGGAUGGACUCGCGGCUUAUCAGCUUGUUGGUGGGGUAGUGGCUUACCAAGGCUUUGACGGGUAGCCGGCCUGAGAGGGUGACCGGCCACAUUGGGACUGAGAUACGGCCCAGACUCCUACGGGAGGCAGCAGUGGGGAAUAUUGCACGAUGGGCGGAAGCCUGAUGCAGCAACGCCGCGUGCGGGAUGACGGCCUUCGGGUUGUAAACCGCUUUCGCCUGUGACGAAGCGUGAGUGACGGUAAUGGGUAAAGAAGCACCGGCUAACUACGUG
Molecule: ribosomal RNA, 468 nt
Filed under: uncultured bacterium
Lineage: Bacteria
Description: partial 16S ribosomal RNA
Rfam family: Bacterial small subunit ribosomal RNA
Source: RNAcentral